RNAcentral lists this long non-coding RNA (2398 nucleotides) under Salmo salar (Atlantic salmon). RNAcentral describes it as "lncRNA (ENSSSAG00000113545.1)". Lineage: Eukaryota; Metazoa; Chordata; Actinopteri; Salmoniformes; Salmonidae. The record is from RNAcentral.
CCUAUUACAGGACCACAGAGAAUCACCUAGCUUAGUAGUGAUGUCCAGGUCCUAUUACAGGACCACAGAGAAUCACCUAGCUUAGUAGUGAUGUCCAGGUCCUAUUACAGGACCACAGAGAAUCACCUAGCUUAGUAGUGAUGUCCAUGUCCUAUUACAGGACCACAGAGAAUCACCUAGCUUAGUAGUGAUGUCCAGGUCCUAUUACAGGACCACAGAGAAUCACCUAGCUUAGUAGUGAUGUCCAGGUCCUAUUACACGACCACAGAGAAUCACCUUGCUUAGUAGUGAUGUCCAGGUCCUAUUACAGGACCACAGAGAAUCACCUAGCUUAGUAGUGAUGUCCUGGUCCUAUUACAGGACCACAGAGAAUCACCUAGCUUAUUAGUGAUGUCCAGGUCCUAUUACAGGACCACAGAGAAUCACCUUGCUUAGUAGUGAUGUCCAGGUCCUAUUACACGACCACAGAGAAUCACCUUGCUUAGUAGUGAUGUCCAGGUCCUAUUACAGGACCACAGAGAAUCACCUAGCUUAGUAGUGAUGUCCUGGUCCUAUUACAGGACCACAGAGAAUCACCUAGCUUAGUAGUGAUGUCCUGGUCCUAUUACAGGGCCACAGACAAUCACCUAGCUUUGUAGUGAUGUCCAGGUCCUAUUACAGGACCACAGAGAAUCACCUAGCUUAGUAGUGAUGUCCUGGUCCUAUUACAGGACCACAGAGAAUCACCUAGCUUAGUAGUGAUGUCCAGGUCCUAUUACAGGACCACAGAGAAUCACCUAGCUUAGUAGUGAUGUCCUGGUCUUAUUACAGGACCACAGAGAAUCACCUAGCUUAGUAGUGAUGUCCAGGUCCUAUUACAGGACCACAGAGAAUCACCUAGCUUAGUAGUGAUGUCCAGGUCCUAUUACAGGACCACAGAGAAUCACCUAGCUUAGUAGUGAUGUCCAGGUCCUAUUACAGGACCACAGAGAAUCACCUAGCAUAGUAGUGAUGUCCAGGUCCUAUUACAGGACCACAGAGAAUCACCUAGCUUAGUAGUGAUGUCCAGGUCCUAUUACAGGACCACAGAGAAUCACCUAGCUUAGUAGUGAGUAGUGACUCACUCUCUCUAAACUGGGAAUAAAACCUUAUGUGACCAACGCAUCUCUUCAUGACUCAUAUCUGGGUUGGGGUCAAUUCCAUGUAAAUUCCAGUCAAUAUAGGAAGUGAACUGAAAUUCCAAUUCCAAUUAUCUUUAAUGCUUUUCAAUUAGGAACAUUUGGAAUUAGGAAUUUUGGUUUACUUUCUAAAUUGACUGGAAUUGAAAUGGAAACAACCCCAACCCUGACUCACAAAAAAAAAGAUAUAUAUAUACCUGUACCGUUAUACCUACAUAGGUGCAGUUAGCGAAGAAGGGAGGCCUACCUGAACUCUGACCUCCACAGAAACCUAUAGAUUCAAAGCCAUAUACUUUAGAGCACACAGCUCAUCAUCAUACGCUAGCUUUAAAUGUGUUGAUAAUCCCUUACAUUCUUUUCUAUGACAAAUGUAACAUUGUCCCUUUGUCUCUUUCAAGGGUUCUUAAUGGUCACAUGAUAGGAGCAUAGAGCAGACCGUGGCUCAUAUCCACAGAGUCUCAGAGUAGGAGCACUGAUAUAAGAUCAGUUUGGCCUUUUAUGUCAUGAUGAAUAUAUUAUCUAAAUUACAGGGGGGCACACGUUCCUAAAUCAGCAGUCCAACUCCGAGACGCUAUUUUAAUACGGGCAAAGAGCAGAGGCCCAUGCCUCACUGAACCCGGUUUACACUGACUUGAAGUCAGCUCAGCUCAGCACAGCGAAGAAUGAGAUCACUCAAACCAAGAUCUUUGGAGCGGAACCAACGGCUGUUAGGCUAUUCAAAUGAAUUAACAAACGACCUUCAAUUAAAACAGAUCAGACAAGGAGGGCAUUUAUCAAUUCAAUAGGCACUCUCAGAAAUGUGGCCUCCCUCCAGUCCGUCAUUCUUCGAUGCCUGCACGGCACCAGUCACAGACAGACAGACGGAAAGACAGAUUGACAGACAGGUGGCCAGACAUUCUUAUUUCAGUGUGGAGUGAGCUGAGGUCAGUAUGUUUCCUGAAGCCUUUAGAAGACUGUUGUUGACCUCUGUUGAAUGCAGGAAAUGGGCCGUGGGGAGAAAGGAGUCUGGCAUUACCCCAACAAUCAGAGGCAGAGGAUCUCUCUUUCGGCUGCUGCUGACGACAACAGCAUGAACCAGCCAGGCAACAACCCAUAGUCUACUGUACUGUUCCAUAAAGAAGUCAGCCGGAAAUGGUACCAUGAAUGACGAAGGCCAUCGUUCAAACAAAGAUGCCUCCCUGGCCACCUGUGCAUAUUUCCAAACUAUGUUUACAUAUAAUGACAAUACAAUCUCACAACUA